ACGGGAGGCAGCAGUGGGGAAUAUUGGACAAUGGGGGGAACCCUGAUCCAGCGACGCCGCGUGAGUGAAGAAGUAUUUCGGUAUGUAAAGCUCUAUCAGCAAGGAAGAAAAUGACGGUACUUGACUAAGAAGCUCCGGCUAAAUACGUGCCAGCAGCCGCGGUAAUACGUAUGGAGCAAGCGUUAUCCGGAUUUACUGGGUGUAAAGGGAGCGUAGACGGACUAGCAAGUCUGAAGUGAAAGCCCGGGGCUCAACCCCGGAACUGCUUUGGAAACUGUUAAGCUAGAGUACAGGAGAGGUAAGCGGAAUUCCUAGUGUAGCGGUGAAAUGCGUAGAUAUUAGGAGGAACACCAGUGGCGAAGGCGGCUUACUGGACUGUAACUGACGCUGAGGCUCGAAAGCGUGGGGAGCGAACAGGAUUAGAUACCCUGGUA
This 434-nucleotide ribosomal RNA is filed under the name uncultured Clostridium sp. RNAcentral describes it as "partial 16S ribosomal RNA". It matches the Rfam family "Bacterial small subunit ribosomal RNA", at positions 341 to 792 of the family's 1533-position model. The record is from RNAcentral. Lineage: Bacteria; Bacillati; Bacillota; Clostridia; Eubacteriales; Clostridiaceae.